UGAUACCCUGGUAGUCCACGCUGUAAACGAUGUCGACUUGGAGGUUGUUCCCUUGAGGAGUGGCUUCCGGAGCUAACGCGUUAAGUCGACCGCCUGGGGAGUACGGCCGCAAGGUUAAAACUCAAAUGAAUUGACGGGGGCCCGCACAAGCGGUGGAGCAUGUGGUUUAAUUCGAUGCAACGCGAAGAACCUUACCUACUCUUGACAUCCAGAGAAUUUAGCAGAGAUGCUUUGGUGCCUUCGGGAACUCUGAGACAGGUGCUGCAUGGCUGUCGUCAGCUCGUGUUGUGAAAUGUUGGGUUAAGUCCCGCAACGAGCGCAACCCUUAUCCUUUGUUGCCAGCGGUUCGGCCGGGAACUCAAAGGAGACUGCCAGUGAUAAACUGGAGGAAGGUGGGGAUGACGUCAAGUCAUCAUGGCCCUUACGAGUAGGGCUACACACGUGCUACAAUGGCAUAUACAAAGAGAAGCGACCUCGCGAGAGCAAGCGGACCUCAUAAAGUAUGUCGUAGUCCGGAUCGGAGUCUGCAACUCGACUCCGUGAAGUCGGAAUCGCUAGUAAUCGUGGAUCAGAAUGCCACGGUGAAUACGUUCCCGGGCCUUGUACACACCGCCCGUCACACCAUGGGAGUGGGUUGCAAAAGAAGUAGGUAGCUUAACC
Molecule: ribosomal RNA, 660 nt
Filed under: bacterium LB-77
Lineage: Bacteria
Description: bacterial SSU rRNA
Rfam family: Bacterial small subunit ribosomal RNA
Source: RNAcentral